Molecule: ribosomal RNA, 484 nt
Filed under: uncultured bacterium
Lineage: Bacteria
Description: partial 16S ribosomal RNA
Rfam family: Bacterial small subunit ribosomal RNA
Source: RNAcentral
AUUGAGCGCUGGCGGCAGGCCUAACACAUGCAAGUCGAGCGGAUGAAGGGAGCUUGCUCCUGGAUUCAGCGGCGGACGGGUGAGUAAUGCCUAGGAAUCUGCCUGGUAGUGGGGGAUAACGUCCGGAAACGGGCGCUAAUACCGCAUACGUCCUGAGGGAGAAAGUGGGGGAUCUUCGGACCUCACGCUAUCAGAUGAGCCUAGGUCGGAUUAGCUAGUUGGUGGGGUAAAGGCCUACCAAGGCGACGAUCCGUAUCUGGUCUGAGAGGAUGAUCAGUCACACUGGAACUGAGACACGGUCCAGACUCCUACGGGAGGCGGCAGUGGGGAAUAUUGGACGAUGGGCGAAAGCCUGAUCCAGCCAUGCCGCGUGUGUGAAGAAGGUCUUCGGAUUGUAAAGCACUUUAAGUUGGGAGGAAGGGCAGUAAGUUAAUACCUUGCUGUUUUGACGUUACCAACAGAAUAAGCACCGGCUAACUUCGUG